GAUGAACGCUGGCGGCGUGCCUAAUACAUGCAAGUCGAGCGAACGGACGAGAAGCUUGCUUCUCUGAUGUUAGCGGCGGACGGGUGAGUAACACGUGGAUAACCUACCUAUAAGACUGGGAUAACUUCGGGAAACCGUAGCUAAUACCGGAUAAUAUUUUGAACCGCAUGGUUCAAAAGUGAAAGACGGUCUUGCUGUCACUUAUAGAUGGAUCCGCGCUGCAUUAGCUAGUUGGUAAGGUAACGGCUUACCAAGGCAACGAUGCAUAGCCGACCUGAGAGGGUGAUCGGCCACACUGGAACUGAGACACGGUCCAGACUCCUACGGGAGGCAGCAGUAGGGAAUCUUCCGCAAUGGGCGAAAGCCUGACGGAGCAACGGCGAGUGAGUGACGAAGGUCUUCGGAUCGUAAAACUCUGUUAUUAGGGAAGAACAUAUGUGUAAGUAACUGUGCACAUCUUGACGGUACCUAAUCAGAAAGCCACGGCUAACUACGUG
Molecule: ribosomal RNA, 497 nt
Filed under: uncultured bacterium
Lineage: Bacteria
Description: partial 16S ribosomal RNA
Rfam family: Bacterial small subunit ribosomal RNA
Source: RNAcentral